AAAAAGGGUCUGACGACUGCCCAAACCACACCGUGAACCAUUUUUCUUAUUGAUGCUCUGGCAGGCCGCCCGCUGGGGGGGCUCAGGCCGCGGUUUCGCGGUGGUCUGCCGGUGGCUCGCAAACCAAAACUCUUUUGAACGUCUCUCUGAGAAUAUCUAACUCCUCUUAGCGGGAGAAAAAAAAAGUCA
This 189-nucleotide unclassified non-coding RNA is filed under the name soil metagenome. RNAcentral's name for it is "partial internal transcribed spacer 1". The record is from RNAcentral.